UUUUGACCUGAGCAUAUCAAUAAGCGGAGGA
Molecule: ribosomal RNA, 31 nt
Filed under: Gloeotila scopulina
Lineage: Eukaryota; Viridiplantae; Chlorophyta; Trebouxiophyceae; Chlorellales; Chlorellaceae
Description: partial 26S ribosomal RNA
Source: RNAcentral